RNAcentral lists this ribosomal RNA (378 nucleotides) under uncultured archaeon. Its description in RNAcentral is "bacterial SSU rRNA". It matches the Rfam family "Archaeal small subunit ribosomal RNA", at positions 345 to 727 of the family's 1478-position model. The record is from RNAcentral.
AAACUUUGCAAUGCGGGAAACCGUGACAAGGGAACUCUGAGUGCCCGUAAAAUCGGGCUGUCCAUCGGUUUAAAUAACCGGUGAAGAAAGGGCCGGGCAAGACCGGUGCCAGCCGCCGCGGUAAUACCGGCGGCUCGAGUGGUGGCCACUAUUACUGGGCUUAAAGCGUUCGUAGCUGGUUUGUUAAGUCUCUGGGGAAAUCUUCCGGCUUAACCGGAAGGCGUCUCAGGGAUACUGGCAGACUAGGGACCGGGAGAGGUGAGAGGUACUCCAGGGGUAGGAGUGAAAUCCUGUAAUCCUUGGGGGACCACCUGUGGCGAAGGCGUCUCACCAGAACGGCUCCGACAGUGAGGGACGAAAGCUGGGGGAGCAAACCGG